This 497-nucleotide ribosomal RNA is filed under the name uncultured bacterium. RNAcentral describes it as "partial 16S ribosomal RNA". It matches the Rfam family "Bacterial small subunit ribosomal RNA", at positions 28 to 507 of the family's 1533-position model. The record is from RNAcentral.
GACGAACGCUGGCGGCGUGCCUAAUACAUGCGAGUUGAGCGAUGAAGAUUGGUGCUUGCACCAAUUUGAAGAGCAGCGAACGGGUGAGUAACGCGUGGGGAAUCUGCCUUUGAGCGGGGGACAACAUUUGGAAACGAAUGCUAAUACCGCAUAACAACUUUAAACAUAAGUUUUAAGUUUGAAAGAUGCAAUUGCAUCACUCAAAGAUGAUCCCGCGUUGUAUUAGCUAGUUGGUGAGGUAAAGGCUCACCAAGGCGAUGAUACAUGGCCGACCUGAGAGGGUGAUCGGCCACAUUGGGACUGAGACACGGCCCAAACUCCUACGGGAGGCAGCAGUAGGGAAUCUUCGGCAAGGGACGAAAGUCUGACCGAGCAACGCCGCGUGAGUGAAGAAGGGUGUCGGAUCGUAAAACUCUGUUGGUAGAGAAGAACGUUGGUGAGAGUGGAAAGCUCAUCAAGUGACGGUAACUACCCAGAAAGGGACGGCUAACUACGUG